Molecule: ribosomal RNA, 498 nt
Filed under: uncultured Streptococcus sp.
Lineage: Bacteria; Bacillati; Bacillota; Bacilli; Lactobacillales; Streptococcaceae
Description: partial 16S ribosomal RNA
Source: RNAcentral
CACGUAGUUAGCCGUCCCUUUCUGGUAAGAUACCGUCACAGUGUGAACUUUCCACUCUCACACUCGUUCUUCUCUUACAACAGAGCUUUACGAUCCGAAAACCUUCUUCACUCACGCGGCGUUGCUCGGUCAGACUUCCGUCCAUUGCCGAAGAUUCCCUACUGCUGCCUCCCGUAGGGGUCUGGGCCGUGUCUCAGUCCCAGUGUGGCCGAUCACCCUCUCAGGUCGGCUAUGUAUCGUCGCCUUGGUGAGCCGUUACCCCACCAACUAGCUAAUACAACGCAGGUCCAUCUGGUAGUGAUGCAAUUGCACCUUUUAAGCAAAUGUCAUGCAACAUCUACUGUUAUGCGGUAUUAGCUAUCGUUUCCAAUAGUUACUCCCCCGCUACCAGGCAGGUUACCCUACGCGUUACUCCACCCGUUCGCAACUCAUCCAGAGAAGCAAGCUCCUCCUUCAGUCGUUCUACUUGCAUGUAUUAGGCACGCCGCCAGCGUUCGU